GAACACAGCCUGGUCAAGACCUUGGUUUUAUCCUGGUGGAAAAAAAAAAGAAUCCACCAUCUCCAGGCCUCAGACGAUGGAUUGUACAUGUGUUUUUUAGAAAAGGCAUUGAUUUUGAAGAAGCCAUUGUGGAGCUAAUGGUGAUAGGACCUAAAUGCAGA
Molecule: long non-coding RNA, 161 nt
Organism: Lemur catta (Ring-tailed lemur)
Lineage: Eukaryota; Metazoa; Chordata; Mammalia; Primates; Lemuridae
Exons: 3
Source: RefSeq, a predicted model, not a curated record